UACGAGUCUGACGAACGUUAUUCGGAAUUACUGGGCUUAAAGGGUGCGUAGGCGGUGCGGAUAGUCGGGUGUGAAAUGCCUUAGCUUAACUAAGGAACUGCACUCGAUACUGCCGUGCUAGAGUAAGACAGAGGUGAGUGGAACUGAGGGUGGAGCGGUGAAAUGCGUUGAUAUCCUCAGGAACACCGGUGGCGAAGGCGACUCACUGGGUCUUAACUGACGCUGAUGCACGAAAGCUAGGGUAGCAAACGGG
RNAcentral lists this ribosomal RNA (253 nucleotides) under uncultured bacterium. Its description in RNAcentral is "partial 16S ribosomal RNA". It matches the Rfam family "Bacterial small subunit ribosomal RNA", at positions 524 to 776 of the family's 1533-position model. The record is from RNAcentral.